RNAcentral lists this ribosomal RNA (373 nucleotides) under uncultured bacterium. RNAcentral's name for it is "bacterial SSU rRNA". It matches the Rfam family "Bacterial small subunit ribosomal RNA", at positions 527 to 898 of the family's 1533-position model. The record is from RNAcentral.
GUAGGUGGCAAGCGUUGUCCGGAUUUACUGGGCGUAAAGGGCGUGCAGGCGGUCUGUUAAGUCUAGGGUGAAAGCUCCCGGCUCAACUGGGAGAGGUCCUUGGAUACUGGCGGACUUGAGGGAGGUAGAGGAGAGUGGAAUUCCCGGUGUAGUGGUGAUAUGCGUAGAUAUCGGGAGGAACACCAGUGGCGAAGGCGGCUCUCUGGGCCUUACCUGACGCUGAGACGCGAAAGCGUGGGGAGCGAACCGGAUUAGAUACCCGGGUAGUCCACGCCGUAAACUAUGGACACUAGGUGUGGGGGGUAUCGACCCCCUCCGUGCCGAAGCUAACGCAGUAAGUGUCCCGCCUGGGGAGUACGGCCGCAAGGCUAAA